CCGCGAAUAGCUCAUUACAAUAGCCGUUGUUUCUUGGAUCCUCAAUUUACUUGGAUACCUGUGGUAAUUCUAGAGCUAAUACAUGCGACUAAGGGCCGAACUCACGUGACGCUUGCAUUUAUUAGAUCAAGACUAACCGGCUUCGGCCGUUAACUUGGUGACUCUGAAUAACUCAGCUGAUCGCACGGUCUAGUGCCGGCGACAUAUCUUUCAAGUGUCUACCUUAUCAACUGUCGAUGGUAGUUUAUGUGACUACCAUGGUUGUAACGGGUAACGGAGAAUCAGGGUUUGACUCCGGAGAGGGAGCCUGAGAAACGGCUACCACUUCUAAGGAAGGCAGCAGGCGCGCAAAUUACACAAUCUCAGCACGAGGAUGUAGUGACGAAACAUACCGAGGCGAUGCCCUUUCGGGUGUCGUCAUUGGAAUGAGUCGAAUCUAAAAAAUUCGGCAAGGAUCUAGUGGAGGGCAAGUCUGGUGCCAGCAGCCGCGGUAAUUCCAGCUCCGCAAGUGUAUAUCUAUGCUGUUGCGGUUAAAAAGCUCGUAGUUUGAUUCGCGUACUUAGCACGCAGUGUGGCCUUUCGGCUACUACUGUGAUGCGGUACAUUAUCGUCAGUUUGUCGUUGAUGCUCUUCAUUGGGUGUCAGCGGCGGCUGUCAAGUUUACUUUGAACAAAUUAAAGUGCUCAAUACAGGCGUUUCGCUUGUAUAGUUCUGCAUGGAAUAAUAGAAUAGGACUUACGUUCUAUUGUGUUGGUUUUCAGAACGAAAGUAAUGAUUAAGAGGGACAGACGGGGUCAUUCGUACUGCCACGUUAGAGGUGAAAUUCUUGGAUCGUGGCAAGACGAACUACUGCGAAAGCAUUUGACAAGAAUGUUUUCAUUAAUCAAGAACGAAAGNAUGGUC
Molecule: ribosomal RNA, 903 nt
Filed under: Halomonhystera disjuncta
Lineage: Eukaryota; Metazoa; Nematoda; Chromadorea; Monhysterida; Monhysteridae
Description: SSU rRNA
Rfam family: Eukaryotic small subunit ribosomal RNA
Source: RNAcentral